CCAGCUACCGCCGCCGACGCCGUGGACCAGCACGAAGUGCGCAGGCGGGGAUUUUGCAGACCAGGUGUUCGAUGAAAGUCCUGAACCAGCUUGUCCGGUUUCCAUGAUUGGUGAAUAGUUUGGUUUCUCGAGGUUUCCGUCUAUUGGGUUUUAUUUUUUUGCUUGAUAGGAUUCGUUAGCUUGUUCCGGCGAUUAUAUAGAUGAGCGGCAGAU
This 213-nucleotide long non-coding RNA is filed under the name Linum usitatissimum (flax). RNAcentral describes it as "long non-coding RNA (LUSI_LNC000152)". Lineage: Eukaryota; Viridiplantae; Streptophyta; Magnoliopsida; Malpighiales; Linaceae. The record is from RNAcentral.